This 595-nucleotide ribosomal RNA is filed under the name uncultured fungus. Its description in RNAcentral is "eukaryotic LSU rRNA". The stretch from base 212 to 365 matches the Rfam family "5.8S ribosomal RNA". Lineage: Eukaryota; Fungi. The record is from RNAcentral.
AAGUCGUAACAAGGUUUCCGUAGGUGAACCUGCGGAAGGAUCAUUAUUGAAAUAAACCUGAUGGGUUGUUGCUGGCUCUCUAGGGAGCAUGUGCACGCCUUGUCAUCUUUAUAUCUCCACCUGUGCACUUUUUGCAGACCUUUCAAGGUCUAUGUUGCUUCAUUUUACCCCAAUGUAUGUUAAUAGAAUGUUGUGCCUAUAUAAUAUAUACAACUUUCAGCAACGGAUCUCUUGGCUCUCGCAUCGAUGAAGAACGCAGCGAAAUGCGAUAAGUAAUGUGAAUUGCAGAAUUCAGUGAAUCAUCGAAUCUUUGAACGCACCUUGCGCUCCUUGGUAUUCCGAGGAGCAUGCCUGUUUGAGUGUCAUUAAUAUAUAUCAACCUUCUCCUUGUUGAGAGGUUUGGAUGUGGGGGUUUGCUGGCCUCUUUAAAAGGUUUCAGCUCCCCUGAAAUGCAUUAGCAGAACAAACCUUGUUCAUUGGUGUGAUAACUAUCUACGCUAUUGAAUGUGAGGGGCAGUUUGGCUUUCUAACAGUCUUUGGACAAUUUUAUCAUUAAUGUGACCUCAAAUCAGGUAGGACUACCCGCUGAACUUAA